CAUGUGGUUUAAUUCGAUGCAACGCGAAGAACCUUACCUGGUCUGACAUCCACAGAACUUUCCAGAGAUGGAUUGGUGCCUUCGGGAACUGUGAGACAGGUGCUGCAUGGCUGUCGUCAGCUCGUGUUGUGAAAUGUUGGGUUAAGUCCCGCAACGAGCGCAACCCUUAUCUUUUGUUGCCAGCGGUCCGGCCGGGAACUCAAAGGAGACUGCCAGUGAUAAACUGGAGGAAGGUGGGGAUGACGUCAAGUCAUCAUGGCCCUUACGACCAGGGCUACACACGUGCUACAAUGGCGCAUACAAAGAGAAGCGACCUCGCGAGAGCAAGCGGACCUCAUAAAGUGCGUCGUAGUCCGGAUUGGAGUCUGCAACUCGACUCCAUGAAGUCGGAAUCGCUAGUAAUCGUGGAUCAGAAUGCCACGGUGAACACGUUCCCGGGCCUU
Molecule: ribosomal RNA, 443 nt
Filed under: uncultured Enterobacteriaceae bacterium
Lineage: Bacteria; Pseudomonadati; Pseudomonadota; Gammaproteobacteria; Enterobacterales; Enterobacteriaceae
Description: bacterial SSU rRNA
Rfam family: Bacterial small subunit ribosomal RNA
Source: RNAcentral